CAAAGGCGCCGGCAUGUUUGUGGCAGGUUCGCCUGUGUUUCCAUGUUCAAUCGGGAGUUCGAGCUUCACUGAAAUUAUGUUGUUCAUGUGGAGUAUCGAGUACUGCCCGAGUGGUUUCUCGUGGCUUUAAGAGCUAAGACUGACGAAGUCUCCAGCUGGAUUGCUGGCUUGAUCCACUCGCGCUGAGUGCCCUGGUAAAGGACUGAAUGUGGUCGCGGUUUCCCCCCUGCCGCGGUUGGAAGUGUGUGUGUCUCAUCGGUCGGGGUGUUGACCCCUUCGUCGAUGUAGCUGUUUGACGCGGCGGGCUGCUGUUUAGUUUGGGUAGACUGAACUGAUAAGAUACGCCGAGUGCUUGGGUGUGCGUAACGUGGUUGGAACUGGUUGUGUGAGUGGGGUUGCGUGCCUGUUUAACGAGUUUUGUUUUGAUUUUGAUGCGCUCUGAACGAGUGUAGCCUACCCCCUGUCCUGUAUUGUGGUUAACUGUGUUUUGUUUGUUAUUUUUCUGAUUCUAUGUAAUUGACCACACUGGUGCCCAGUCGUUUCCCAUUCCCUGGAUAACCCAUCUCCCCUGAGCUUCCUGGUUGCAGUGGCGUGUAGUGCAAGGUGCCCUUGGUGCCAUAGCGUGAAUUGGUUGCAGUCUCAACGGUGUGGGUUGAUCUGUGUGUCCUUAACUAGCUAGCCUGUUUGCUGUGCAUUGGGGUGGUUACGGUACUUUAUAUUUAAUUAGAGGCUCAGGGGGUAUGGGCAUUCUGUGGUCAUCGGGGAUAACAGACCAGUGAUGGUGUGAAUUUUGUCGCUGUACUGUAUUUGUUUCUGUUCUGUUUGUGUAUGUCCUAUCCCAACUGUCUGGGUUACUGAACCCCUUUUUACACACUAAUUAUAUAUUUUUAUAAGAACUGGAAAUAAUAAAAAUAAGAGAAUCAACUGUU
Long non-coding RNA from Engraulis encrasicolus (European anchovy), 929 nucleotides. RefSeq lists it as uncharacterized. Lineage: Eukaryota; Metazoa; Chordata; Actinopteri; Clupeiformes; Engraulidae. The record is from RefSeq and is a predicted model, not a curated record. The transcript is spliced from 3 exons.